GAUGAAGAACUUAGCGAAAUGCGAUAAGUAAUGUGAAUUGCAGAAUUCAGUGAAUCAUCGAAUCUUUGAACGCACAUUGCGCCCGUCAGUAUUCUGGCGGGCAUGCCUGUUCGAGCGUCAUUACGCCCCUCAAGUCCCCUGUGGACUUGGUGUUGGGGAUCGGCGAGGCUGGUUUUCCAGCACAGCCGUCCCUUAAAUUAAUUGGCGGUCUCGCCGUGGCCCUCCUCUGCGCAGUAGUAAAACACUCGCAACAGGAGCCCGGCGCGGUCCACUGCCGUAAAACCCCCCAACUUUUUAUAGUUGACCUCCAAUCAGGUAGGACUACCCGCUGAACUUAAGCAUAUCAAUAAGCGGAGGA
Molecule: unclassified non-coding RNA, 358 nt
Filed under: soil metagenome
Description: partial contains 5.8S ribosomal RNA, internal transcribed spacer 2, and large subunit ribosomal RNA
Rfam family: 5.8S ribosomal RNA (bases 1-120)
Source: RNAcentral